CUUGUAUAAAUUAUCAACCAAGAUAUUUCUAUUGUUUUGUGAGAUGAAAUUUGUUUGUUUUAUUUAAGAGAUAAUUUUAGCUAAUGUUAGGUUCAAUCUUAGUUUUGAGUCUACCAAACAAGCUUCUUUAGAAUAAGUUUUCAGUUAGUGGCGAAAUAUAUGACCUUCGUAAGUAUUAUAGUGGAUCACUUUCUAAAUGCUUCUCUAAAUAGUCUUGUCCAAGGGACUUACUACUAAGUCUUAGUGCAACUAGUUCAUAUUAGAUUGGGGUAACUUCAGUUAGUUUCACUAAGACGAUUGCACUAGGUUGAACAUAUAUGAUUCUCCCAGACAUGCUUUCGACUUAGCUUCCCUAACCUACUAUCAUCCCAAUCUUUUUUGGUAAAAAGUUAAAAUUCUUCCUAGUGUUAUUAGUCCUAAAUAUGCAGACAGGAAGGUCAAGUUUUCAAGAUGAUAACUAAUUUACCGCCUCCCUCUAGAACACAUAUUUUAUGUUUUAUAUUUAAGUAAUGAAUGUCAUUUUUAGGUAUAUAUUAUUGUUUUAGUCCUACUUGCUUUGUUAGGCGAGUUUUCAAAAUACAUGCUUUGACAUGUUUCUUAUUUUGGUUAACAAAUGAUAAGUAAGAUUUGUUCAUCGAUUUCGAUUGAUAUCCAAUAUCGAACUUGUUGUACACGACCCUUUGUAAUCCAAGUAUCAUGUCAAGUUUCUUGGAUCCCAAAUUGAACCUUUCCAACAUUCCCUUGAGUCUCUCAACUUCUCCUUUCAAUAUGAAAUUCUCAUCCUCAAGUCUUGUAAUUUGAUUUGGGUUUCCAUUUUAAACUUGGUUAGUUGAGAGUUUAGGAUUAACUUGCUCCUUAGGAUGUUUGACUUCCUUAAGGAGCAAUUCAACUUGUUUCUCAAAUUUAACCUUCUUGGCUUGACUCUGACUCAUACUCAGAUUCAUCAGGUUGGUUUCUUGCCAUUAGUGCUAAGAAGUUCUUUUGUCUUGGUUUGUCCAUCUGUGAUUCCUCCAAUGAUGACUCAUCCCAAGGGGCCUUUAGUGUUUUUCUUCGUCUUGAUUUGGGUUUUUCUUCUUUGAGAUUUGGGCAAUCAUACUUGCAAUGCCCCUUUUUAUUACAUCUGUAACAUGUCACUUUAGAUAUUGAUUUGGUUGGUGUAGAUUGUAUCACUUUUUUGAAAUCAUCCUUUAAAAAUAUUUUUUUCUUCUUGGUAAACAUCUUCCUGACUAUGUUUACUAGUUGUUCUUUGGUUGAGUCAGAGUUGGACUCAUCUUCAGAUUCAUGCUUGAAUCGGGCUUUCAAUUUUAGCUCCUUAGUUGGUCCUGCAACAAGGGCAAUACCUUUUUCGGUUUGACUCGAGUUAGUCUGCUCGUGUAGUUCAAGUUCUCAAAAAGUUCAUCUAAUCAAAUUUUAGAAAGGGCCCUUGAGUUUUUAUAGGCAUCUAUCAUACAUGCCAAUAAGGAGUUUUGAGGGAACGAGUUAAGAGCGUACUUGAUUAUAUCAUGGUUCUCAUGUGGGUGAUCAAUGAGAUGUAGUCCAUUGAGAAUAUCUUUAAUCCUCGUGUGUUGUUGGUUUACCAACUCACCAUCUAACAUUUUAAUAUUUAGUAAGGAAUUUAAUAAAAGAUCACAUUUUGUUGUAAGUAACCCGUGAUGAUUUUGACGUGAUCAACCAAGUGAAGUUAGGUCAUGUGUAUUUGAUCCUUGUGUCUAAAUGUGUAGGAGAAUAGGAUCAUAAGAAGUCAAGAGGAAGUCAAGCGGAAGACAUAGCGGAUAAGAAAGAUGGAAUGAGAAUCGAGUCGAUGGGGUUGGUGUAUCGAGGGACGAUAAGCUACGGAAGAGUACAUCGGUGGAGCAAAAAGGACGUGUGCGACACUUUCGAGGGACGAGAAGAUGGAGUGGAAAACUACUCGAGGAGAAGGCUGGAGUUGGGUUUGGGUGAGCUCAACUCUGGAAGGCCAGAGGAUCACCCAAGAGACUAAAGAAGGAGCUAGCGACCGGAGAAAGUACCAGACAGUCAGCCUGAGGCUGACUAAUUCGGGCGCCUGGACCAUCCAGGCACUCGGACCACCAGGGUGCCUCGUCGUAGUGGAUCACUCUUCUAGCCCACGUAAGCAACGGUCCGGGUGCCUCAACAUGGUCCAAGCGCCCAGACAUGAAAAAUUUCAUCUUUAAGCCGUUGCGAAGCUGUUGUGUGGAGAUAAAGUUUGCCACACUGGGGGAGCUUGGAGAGGGUCCAAACGCCCGAAGUUGCCACGCCAGCAAACAUCUAAUUUCAACCAGUGGGCUAUAAAUCUAGCUCUGGUCUUCUUCAUUCAGAACAACACUCUAUGUAUUCGAGUUUUCCAUUUCUAUUUUGUGCUUUCAAUGUUCUAUACGAGGCUUCUCCACCUUUGACUUGUGGCAAAGAAGGAGUCGAUUAGUUGAGCUUCACUUUCCUUGGAUUAGCAACCUCCCCGGUUGCAAACCAAGUAAAUCCUUUUUGUCUCAUACUUAUUUAUGCAUUUUAGUUUCCUUUAUUAAAAUAUUAUUAUUAACUUAAGUCAAAAGCUUUGAGAAGGAUAUAUUUUUAAUUUCAGGCAAUUCAUCCUCUCUUACUGGCAUCACCGGGACUGAUAAGGUUUAUUAGAGCAAGGAUGCUUCAGAAGGACUAACUGCAUGGCUGGACCAAGCCUCAACCCGCCAAAGUUCGAGGGGGAGGUCACACACUGGAAACACUAAAUAGAGGUAUUUCUAAGAAUAUGCUUCGAAAUUCUGACUAAUAGCAGAGCCAAUAAGAAGAAGAGAAAGAAGAAUACCUUUGGACAAAGGAGCAAAAUGACUUCAUAGCCAAUAGCAGAGCGGAAUUAUAAAAUACCGAAAAUAGGCGAAUAUUAAUAAGGGAAUUUUUCGGAUUUUUUAGAAAUUUUUGGGGAUUUUUUCGGAGACCGUAUGGACGAGUUCACGGGGAUAAAAAUGGGGCUCCGGGAAAGCCUGUUUAGGCUACCCAUUUAAGCGAGGAAUUGUUUAUUUUAUAAUUCCUUUUUCAUUUUUCUUAUUUCUUUUCCUUUAUUUUUCUUUCUUCUGUUUUCUUUCCUUGCCGAAAUCAUUUUUUCCCCCUGCGUGCCGCCUGCCCGAGCCCUCGCCGCGCGCCCGACUCCUCCGAGCCCUAACCGCCGGCCGCAGCGGUUUUCCUCCCUCCCUCGUGCUUAAGCGGAGAAGUCAAUGCCUCCUCUGCCCGAUUUCUUCUGUUGAUCCCCCAUUUCUUCCUCUAUUCCGACCGAGUAGAGCCGCUCCUUCUCUGCCCUGGUGCCGGCGCCACCGCCGACCACCCUGUGCCCUAGCACCGAUCUCCUGCAGUGCCCUCCCUUCCUCUGCCCUCGUCACCUCCUCACCACCGAGAUCCCUGAAUCACCGCCGAGCCCUAGCUUUCGAGCCGCACAUCGCCAUCUCAGCCCUAGUUCUCCGGCCGACUCCUCUGUGUGCUGCUCACCAUCGCUGUUUCCUCCUCUGUGCCAGCCACUAGCACCGACGUCUCUGGACCUAGCACUGUCGCCGACCACAGUGAUUUCGGCCGUGAGCAGAAGAUAGACUUGCAGUGGGCUUGUUUUAGUUCUAGCAGCGAGACAACCCUUUUUCGGCUGUGAAUUGAGGUCAGUGGUUAAAUCUAGUACCAGCCACAGUUUUGGCAACAGGUGCAUCCUCGACAAAUUAAUGA
This is a long non-coding RNA of Zingiber officinale, 3696 nucleotides long. RefSeq lists it as uncharacterized. The transcript has 3 exons. The record is from RefSeq and is a predicted model, not a curated record. NCBI's taxonomy places the organism in Eukaryota, Viridiplantae, Streptophyta, Magnoliopsida, Zingiberales, Zingiberaceae.